AUGGAUGGAGCAGUCCUGGGGUUCACUUUGGUUCCUUUCCUAGAGAGGAGGCUCUGGGCUGUGAGCUCAGCCCUGUCCAGCAGUGCAGCUCUGGCACUGCCCGGGCACAGCUCAGGCACAGCUCUGGCACUGCCCAGGUACAGCUCUGGCACAGCUCUGGGGCACAGCUCUGGCACAGCCCUGGCACUGCCCAGGCACAGCUCCGGGGCACAGCUCUGGCACAGCUCUGGGGCACAGCUCUGGCACAGCCCUGGCACUGCCCAGGCACAGCUCCGGGGCACAGCUCUGGCACAGGCACAGCUCUGGGGCACAGCUCUGGCACUGCCCAGGUACAGCUCUGGCACAGCUCUGGGGCACAGCUCUGGCAUUGCUGAGGCACAGCUCUGGAAGGCACAGCUCUGGCACAGCUCUGGGGCACAGCUCUGGCACAGCCCAGACACAGCUCUGGGGCACAGCUCUGGCACAGCUCUGGCACUACCCAGGCACAGCUCUGGGGCACAGCCCAGGUACAGCUCUGGGGCACAGCUCUGGCACAGCUCUGGCACUACCCAGGCACAGCUCUGGGGCACAGCCCAGGUACAGCUCUGGGGCACAGCUCUGGCACAGCUCAGGCACUGCCCAGACACAGCUCAGGGGCACAGCUCUGGUACUGCCCAGGCACAGCUUGGGUACAGCCCAGGCACAGCUCUAGCACAGCUCAGGCACUGCCCAGGCACAGCUCUGGCACAGCUCUGGAGCACAGGUCAGGCACAGCUCUGGCACAGCUCUGGCUCUGGCACAGCUCUGGCUCUGGGCACUGCUGUGGCACAGCUCUGGCACAGCUCUGGCACAGCUCUGGCUGCCUUUGGCCUCAGCACGGGGCACUUAAGGGACACAAAGGCAGUUCCACAGCUCUCUCAACUUUCACCUUGGCAGCCUCAAUACAAACCUCAUCUUAAGGGGCUCCAUGUAUGUUUUUCAGAAUUAAAAACAUGUUUUUUUAAUUUCUAUGUCACUUCCCUUAAGGUGCUUUUUUUCUGUGGGAGUCUGAGGGAAGAGCUGAAUUCCUCUUGA
This 1053-nucleotide long non-coding RNA is filed under the name Ficedula albicollis (Collared flycatcher). RNAcentral describes it as "lncRNA (ENSFALG00000024399.1)". Lineage: Eukaryota; Metazoa; Chordata; Aves; Passeriformes; Muscicapidae. The record is from RNAcentral.